AUGCCGUUUCGUCCGUGUCCUUCUGGAUGCGGUCGUUUCCUGUCUUCGGUUGACGGUCACGAGCGUUGUCUGCAGUGUCUGGGCGUCCAACACGCUGAGGCUGCGCUCGUGGAUGAUUCAUGCGUCUACUGUGGGCGUAUGAACAUGGCAGCGCUGCGAUCGCGUCUCUCACUCCUCAAGGGGAGUGCAGCAGACCCCUCUGUCGCCACCCGUCCCGGUCUCUCUGGCUCGAGAAGAGGGCCGCCGGCUGGCGCUCUGGGAGAUCUGAGGAUCACAGUGAGAGCUUCUCCGCCGGGCCACGCCCCACGGACCUCUCACUCCUCACGCAGCGACUGUCCCGUGCAGCUGCCGAUUGAUUCUGCUGGGCCGUCUCACAGCGGUCCCAGCGUGUCUUUCGGUGCGCCGCCCGAAGACCAGAUGUCGAUUGCUGCAUCGGGGGAUGGGUUAUCGACCUCUGAGGAUGAAGGUUCGGCGGGGCUGCCCCCCUCGGGUGUUGUCGCUACUGCCGAAUCGGACUUGGAGUUGUCGGCCAUGCUUGCCCGGGCAGCCGUGAGUAUCGGACUGGAGGUGACAACACCGCCCAGUCCCGAGCCCUCACGGCUGGAUGAUUGGUUUCUCGGCGCGGGACGCGGCUCACAACCUCGUUCUGCUCCGGUGCCUUUCUUCCCGGAGGUGCAUGAAGAGGUGACGAAGUCGUGGACGGCCCCUUUCACGGCCAGAAGCCGCUCUUCUCCCUCUUCCAUCCUCACCACCCUCGAUGGCGGGGCAGCCAGGGGGUACGUAGAGGUUCCCCAGGUGGAGAGGGCGGUUGCGGUGCACUUGUGCCCACAAAACGCCGCCACUUGGAGGAAUCGUCCGCGCCUCCCGUCCAAGGCCUGUAAGCUGACGGCCGCACUCGCUGCCAAGGCUUACAGUGCUGCGGGCCAAGCUGCCUCUGCCCUGCAUGCCAUGGCUAUCCUGCAGGUACACCAAGCCAAGGCACUCAAAACCAUGCACGAGGGUGGUACCGACCCGGGGUUGAUGCAGGAGCUGCGCACGGCGACCGACUUCGCCUUACGGGCAACGAAGGUCACGGCGCGGUCCCUCGGGAAGGCGAUGUCCACGCUGGUGGUCCAGGAGCGGCAUCUCUGGCUGAACCUGGCUGAGAUGAGGGACAUGGACAAAGCGCGCUUUCUCGACGCCCCCAUCUCCCAGGCAGGCCUGUUCGGCGACACUGUCGAGGACUUUGCCCAGCAGUUCUCGGCGGUACAGAAGCAGACUGAGGCCAUCCAGCACAUCCUGCCCCGACGUGUCUCUCCGGCUGCCACCGUUCCGUCGCGGGUAGCGCCUCAGCCUGCUCGUCGCCGUGGGCGCCCCCCUGCGUCCUCUACGCCAGCUCCGCCCCGUGCUGAGAGUUCUUCGAGGCCGGCGCGUCGAGCCCCGCGCAGGAGAGCGGCGCCCCCGUGUCACUCCCGGCUGCGAAGUCCUCCAAGAAGUCGACCAAGCGGCCCUGACACGGGCAACUCGGAGAUGCGGAGAACUGCUCUUCAGGAGAUGGCGAAGACAGCGCCACUCCUUCCCCCGGAGGAGGGCCGGGCGGAGAAUCUUCAGUUUCUGUUUUGUUUUGUUCCGCCACUGGCCGGACGGGGAAGUUGCAAGGCUCGUGGCUUGACAAUGAGCGACGCACAGCUUCCUCACUCUCACCCACGACGCCCCCUUUCGCCAGCGGCCAAGAGGUCGCGGUUCGGAGACGCAACGCCUCUCCACGCGUCUCUGGCCAGUUCCUCCGGGAACACGAGGAGUGUGGUUGCGAUGACCCAGGACGCAGUGCCUUCUGGGCCUUCCGGCACGACUCCCCAUCGCUGCACCACUGCGGGUAUGUCGACUGUCCCUUUGGUGCCACUUUUACGGUAUCUGGGAGCGUGGCUUGCGCUGCCCAACCCGUCACGCUGGCUCAUCCGGACGGUUCGACUUGGCUAUGCGAUUCAAUUCGCCCGGCGACCCCCCAAGUUCAAUGGCGUGCUCGAGACUUCGGUGGCAGUCCAGGACGCCCCUGUCUUGCGCGAGGAGAUUGCUGUCCUCCUGGCGAAGGAUGCAAUCGAGCCGGUCCCUCCAGCCGAGAUGAGGACGGGGUUUUACAGCCCUUACUUCAUCGUGCCCAAGAAGAGCGGUGGCCUUCGACCUAUCCUGGAUCUGCGAGUCUUGAAUCGGGCCCUACACAAGCUCCCGUUCAGGAUGUUGACGCAGAAACGCAUUAUCAAAUGCGUUCAGCCCCAGGACUGGUUUGCAGCGAUCGACCUGAAAGACGCGUACUUUCAUGUCUCUAUCCUCCCUCGUCACAGAUCGUUCCUGCGCUUUGCUUUCGAGGGUCAGGCAUGGCAGUACAAGGUCCUCCCCUUCGGGCUCUCCCUGUCCCCCCGUGUCUUCACGAAGGUCGCGGAGGGCGCCCUUGCCCCACUUUGGGAAGUGGGCAUCAGGAUCCUCAACUAUCUCGACGACUGGCUCAUUAUGGCCCGGUCCCGAGAAGAGUUGUGCGAUCACAGGGACUUCGUGCUUCGGCACCUCAGUCAGUUGGGGCUUCAGGUCAACCGAGAGAAGAGCAAGCUCUCCCCUGUGCAGAGAAUCUCUUAUCUCGGUAUGGAGUUAGACUCGGUGAGUAUGACGGCACGUCUCACCAGCGAGCGUGCCCACUCAGUGCUGAACUGCCUGAGUUCCUUCAGAGGCAGGACAGUGGUACCGCUGAAACACUUUCAAAGGGUCCUGGGGCAUAUGGCAUCCGCAGCCGCAGUCACGCCGCUCGGGUUGAUUCAUAUGAGACCACUUCAGCACUGGUUACACUCCCGAGUCCCGAGAUGGGCAUGGCGCCGCGGUACACAUCGUGUCACCAUCACACUGAUGUGUCGCCGCCUAUUCAGUCCUUGGUCGGACCUUGCCUUUCUACGGGCCGGUGUGCCCUUAGAACAAGUGUCCCGGCACGUUGUUGUCACAACAGAUGCCUCCAACUCGGGCUGGGGCGCGACAUGCAACGGGCAGGCAGCCUCAGGGUCCUGGACAGGACCUCGACUGCUUUGGCACAUCAACUGCCUGGAGUUGCUGGCAGUGCAUCUAGCUUUGCGACGGUUUCGUCCGCUAGUGCUGGACAAGCACGUGUUGGUCCGCACGGACAACACUGCGGCUGUUUCGUACAUCAACCGACAAGGCGGGUUACGAUCACGCCGCAUGUCUCAACUCGCCCGUCAUCUCCUCCUCUGGAGUCAGACGUGGCUCAAGUCGCUGCGCGCUGUCCACAUCCCGGGGGAGCUCAAUCGUGCAGCCGACGCGCUCUCACGACAGCUCACUUUCCCCGGGGAAUGGCGACUCCAUCCCCAGACGGUCCAGCUGAUUUGGAGUCGAUUCGGGGAAGCCCAGGUAGACCUGUUUGCUUCCCACGAGUCCUCCCACUGCCAGUUGUACUAUUCCCUGUCCCAGGCCCCCCUGGGCACAGAUGCACUGGCACACAGCUGGCCUCGGGCUUUACGCAAGUAUGCGUUUCCCCCAGUGAGCCUGCUCGCACAGACACUGUGCAAGGUCAGGGAGGACGAGGAACAGGUCCUGUUGGUUGCGCCUUACUGGCCCACCCGGACCUGGUUUUUGGAACUCAUGCUCCUCGUGACAGCCCCUCCCUGGCGCAUCCCCCUGAGGAGAGACCUUCUCUCUCAGGGGCUUGGCACCAUUUGGCACCCGCGUCCAGAUCUCUGGAACCUCCACGUGUGGCUUCUAGACGGGACGCGGCAGACCUAA
RNAcentral lists this long non-coding RNA (3759 nucleotides) under Carassius auratus (goldfish). Its description in RNAcentral is "lncRNA (ENSCARG00000013844.1)". The record is from RNAcentral. Lineage: Eukaryota; Metazoa; Chordata; Actinopteri; Cypriniformes; Cyprinidae.